AUUGAACGCUGGCGGCAUGCUUUACGCAUGCAAGUCGAACGGGCUUAGGGGCUUGCUCCUAAGUUAGUGGCGAACGGUGAGUAAUACAUCGGAACGUACCGUGUAGUGGGGGAUAACGUAGCGAAAGUUACGCUAAUACCGCAUACGAUCUACGGAUGAAAGUGGGGGACCUUCGGGCCUCACGCUAUACGAGCGGCCGAUGUCUGAUUAGCUAGUUGGUGAGGUAAAGGCUCACCAAGGCAACGAUCAGUAGCGGGUCUGAGAGGAUGAUCCGCCACACUGGGACUGAGACACGGCCCAGACUCCUACGGGAGGCAGCAGUGGGGAAUUUUGGACAAUGGGCGAAAGCCUGAUCCAGCCAUGCCGCGUGCUGAGAAGGCCUC
RNAcentral lists this ribosomal RNA (383 nucleotides) under uncultured bacterium. RNAcentral's name for it is "bacterial SSU rRNA". It matches the Rfam family "Bacterial small subunit ribosomal RNA", at positions 30 to 418 of the family's 1533-position model. The record is from RNAcentral.